This 374-nucleotide long non-coding RNA is filed under the name Astyanax mexicanus (Mexican tetra). Its description in RNAcentral is "lncRNA (ENSAMXG00005010844.1)". Lineage: Eukaryota; Metazoa; Chordata; Actinopteri; Characiformes; Acestrorhamphidae. The record is from RNAcentral.
UGAAGACACAGUGAAAGAGUUGCGCAGACAACAAGUCGAUGGACACAGACUCAGCAUAAAAGAAAAUGUAGAUGUGAUCAGACUGCAGAAGCAACUUUCUGAGAAGAGUACAGCCCUUCUGGUUCUUCAGGAGAAGUUUACCAGUCUGCAGGAGGCUUAUGAGGCCAAGCUGGAGGAGGAUCAGAAGUCACUGCGAGAGAGUCAGGGGGCCUUGCUGGGAAAGGUUGAAGAGCUGAGUGAACAGCUGAAAGAGGAAAAGCAGAGAGUGCUGAUGCUGGAAGGUCAGCUCAGUACCGCUGCUCUAUCACUGCAGAGCCUGCAAGAGGUAUCUGUCAUUUUUCAAUACAGUAGAUGUUAGAUUAUGUUCUUUUUUU